Molecule: ribosomal RNA, 468 nt
Filed under: uncultured bacterium
Lineage: Bacteria
Description: partial 16S ribosomal RNA
Rfam family: Bacterial small subunit ribosomal RNA
Source: RNAcentral
GACGAACGCUGGCGGCGUGCUUAACACAUGCAAGUCGAACGGAAAGGCCCUGCUUUUGUGGGGUACUCGAGUGGCGAACGGGUGAGUAACACGUGAGUAACCUGCCCUUGACUUUGGGAUAACUUCAGGAAACUGGGGCUAAUACCGGAUAGGAGCUCCUGCUGCAUGGUGGGGGUUGGAAAGUUUCGGCGGUUGGGGAUGGACUCGCGGCUCAUCAGCUUGUUGGUGGGGCAGUGGCUUACCAAGGCUUUGACGGGUAGCCGGCCUGAGAGGGUGACCGGCCACAUUGGGACUGGGAUACGGCCCAGACUCCUACGGGGGGCAGCAGUGGGGAAUAUUGCACAAUGGGCGGAAGCCUGAUGCAGCAACGCCGGGGGCGGGAUGACGGCCUUCGGGGUGUAAACCGCUUUCGCCUGUGACGAAGCGUGAGUGACGGUAAUGGGUAAAGAAGCACCGGCUAACUACGUG